This 324-nucleotide RNase P RNA is filed under the name Hydrogenimonas thermophila. Its description in RNAcentral is "Bacterial RNase P class A". It matches the Rfam family "Bacterial RNase P class A". Rfam says of the family: Ribonuclease P (RNase P) is a ubiquitous endoribonuclease, found in archaea, bacteria and eukarya as well as chloroplasts and mitochondria. Its best characterised activity is the generation of mature 5'-ends of tRNAs by cleaving the 5'-leader elements of precursor-tRNAs. Cellular RNase Ps are ribonucleoproteins. The record is from Rfam by way of RNAcentral. Lineage: Bacteria; Pseudomonadati; Campylobacterota; Epsilonproteobacteria; Campylobacterales; Hydrogenimonadaceae.
AAGGUACGGCGGAUGCUUGCUUGGUUUAGCUAAGAGGAAAGUCCGGGCUGCAGUGAAGCAGGGUUCCGUCUAACGGACGGCCACCGUAAGGUGAGGGAUAGUGCAACAGAAAGCAAACCGCCUCGUAAGAGGUAAGGGUGAAACGGUGGGGUAAGAGCCCACCAGCGCCUUGAGCAAUCUUGGCGGCUAUGUAAACCCAACCCGCAGCAAGAAGAGCAUGGUAUAAGCUUCACAUUUUCGCUCUUCGCUAGAGCUUCAUGGUAACAUGAAGAGUAGAUAAAUAAGCAUCCAAGACAUAACCCGGCUUACAGCCGUACCUAAUAA